Molecule: ribosomal RNA, 424 nt
Filed under: uncultured bacterium
Lineage: Bacteria
Description: partial 16S ribosomal RNA
Rfam family: Bacterial small subunit ribosomal RNA
Source: RNAcentral
AAUAUUGGAAAUUGUGUAUAAGCGUAAUCCAGCCAGGCCGCUUGAGGGAAGAAGGUCUAAGGUUUAUAAAGUACUUUAAGUAGGGAGAAAUGGCCGCAAGUAAAAACCUUCCUGUAUUGACGAUACCGACAGAAUAGGCACCGGCGAACUCCGAGACACCAGCCGUGGUAAUAUGAAGGGUCCAAGCGUAAAUCGGAAUUACUGGGCGUAAAGCGCGUGUAGGUGGUUUGUUAAGUUGGAAGUGAAGGCCCCGGGCUCAACCUGGGAACUGCUUUCAAAACUGGCAAGCUAGAGUAUGGCAGAGGGUGGUGGAAUUUCCUGUGUAGCGGUGAAAUGCGUAGAUAUAGGAAGGACCACCAGUGGCGAAGGCGACCACCUGGGCUAAUACUGACACUGAGGUGCGAAAGCGUGGGGAGCAAACAGG